GAGCAUUUGUGUGUGCGGGAACGAUAGCACGAGGAACGCGGCGAUCCGGCGGAUUUAUCUCAAAGUGAAGAGACACCAGCGAGAACACAAUAGCGGUCGAGUGGAGCGGCGGAGCGACGAAGAGAGAAGCAGAGAGAGAACUAGUGCAACAAGUGGACGAUUUCUUUCGUCUGUAGACGUGUGAAGAGGUGUAGUGAUAGUGCCAAGAGAGAGCGGGAAGGAGAUAGAGCCGGACUACUAAAGAGCGAGAGCGAGCGAGAAAAAUAGACAGCGAGAAAGAUAGACAGCAAGAGAGAGAGAGAGCGAGGACCUCUUGAUCUGUAGGGUGCUUCGCCUACAAUAACACCGGUCAUGACGACGGUACACCUGUGCGCGCGGCUCGCCUGCCUGUUACUGCUGCUCGCUGUCGGCAGCAGCCGCGCCGCCGACGC
Long non-coding RNA from Priapulus caudatus, 431 nucleotides. RefSeq lists it as uncharacterized. The record is from RefSeq and is a predicted model, not a curated record. Lineage: Eukaryota; Metazoa; Priapulida; Priapulimorpha; Priapulimorphida; Priapulidae. The transcript has 3 exons.